This 253-nucleotide ribosomal RNA is filed under the name uncultured bacterium. Its description in RNAcentral is "partial 16S ribosomal RNA". It matches the Rfam family "Bacterial small subunit ribosomal RNA", at positions 524 to 776 of the family's 1533-position model. The record is from RNAcentral.
UACGUAGGGACCGAGCGUUGUCCGGAAUCACUGGGCGUAAAGGGUGCGUAGGCGGCCGCGCAAGUCUGGCGUGAAAGCCCCGGGCUCAGCCCGGGAAGGGCGCUCGAAACGGCGCGGCUCGAGUGCCGGAGGGGAGAGUGGAAUUCCUGGUGUAGCGGUGAAAUGCGUAGAUAUCAGGAGGAAUACCGGUGGCGAAAGCGACUCUCUGGACGGCAACUGACGCUGAGGCACGAAAGCGUGGGGAGCAAACAGG